AAUUCGAUUGAGUUUGAUCAUGGCUCAGGACGAACGCUGGCGGCGUGCUUAACACAUGCAAGUCGAGCGGUAAGGCCUCUUUCGGGGGGUACACGAGCGGCGAACGGGUGAGUAACACGUGGGUGACCUGCCUUCAGCUCUGGGAUAAGCUUGGGAAACUGGGUCUAAUACCGGAUGUGACUGUCUGCCGCAUGGUGGGUGGUGGAAAGUUCUCGGGCUUUGGUCUGGGUUCGGCUGGGGAUGGGCCUGCGGCCUAUCAGCUUGUUGGUGGGGUGAUGGCCUACCAAGGCGACGACGGGUAGCCGGCCUGAGAGGGCGACCGGCCACACUGGGACUGAGACACGGCCCAGACUCCUACGGGAGGCAGCAGUGGGGAAUAUUGCGCAAUGGGCGGAAGCCUGACGCAGCGACGCCGCGUGGGGGAUGACGGCCUUCGGGUUGUAAACCUCUUUCGCCAUCGACGAAGGUUCUGUGGUCGUGAGGCUGCAGGGUUGACGGUAGGUGGAGAAGAAGCACCGGCCAACUACGUGCCAGCAGCCGCGGUAAUACGUAGGGUGCGAGCGUUGUCCGGAAUUAUUGGGCGUAAAGAGCUCGUAGGCGGUGUGUCGCGUCGGCCGUGAAAACCUGCAGCUUAACUGUGGGCGUGCGGUCGAUAC
This 656-nucleotide ribosomal RNA is filed under the name uncultured bacterium. Its description in RNAcentral is "bacterial SSU rRNA". It matches the Rfam family "Bacterial small subunit ribosomal RNA", at positions 1 to 633 of the family's 1533-position model. The record is from RNAcentral.